UCAGGCUCGUGUCGUGAGAUGUUGGUUAAGUCCGCAACGAGCGCAACCCCUAUCUUAAUUGCCAUCAUUCAGUUUGGGCACUUUAAAGAGACUGCCGGUGUUAAACCGGAGGAAGGUGGGGAUGACGUCAAGUCCUCAUGGCCUUUAUGCUUAGGGCUACACACGUGCUACAAUGGGUGGUACAAAGAGCAGCCAACUCGCGAGAGCGCGCUAAUCUCAAAAAGCCAUCCUCAGUUCGGAUUGGAGUCUGCAACUCGACUGCAUGAAGUUGGAAUCGCUAGUAAUCGCUGAUCAGCAGGCAGCGGUGAAUACGUUCCCGGGCCUU
Molecule: ribosomal RNA, 325 nt
Filed under: uncultured Smithella sp.
Lineage: Bacteria; Pseudomonadati; Thermodesulfobacteriota; Syntrophia; Syntrophales; Smithellaceae
Description: bacterial SSU rRNA
Rfam family: Bacterial small subunit ribosomal RNA
Source: RNAcentral